UGGAAUCUUCGUCGCGGAGUCAUUCUUACUAAAGUUAACCUUAUUAAGAGGAAUUGGCAUGGAAGUUCGCAAUGUGUCUUUUGUCACCAUGAUGAGACAAUAAAAUAUUUAUUCUUCCAAUGCAAAUUAGCUCGUUCUAUAUGGUCAGUCAUCCAAAUAGCUUCUGGCUUGUAUCCUCCUUGUAGUGUUGCUAAUGUAUUUGGCAACUGGUUACAUGGGAUUGAUUACAUAUUUAGAACUCUUCUCAGGGUGGGAGCACUAGCCGUUAUUUGGUCUCUUUGGCUAAAUAGAAAUGAUAAGGUUUUCAAUGAUAGAAGUACUUCUCUGAUGCAGGUUAUCUACAGAUGUACCGGGACUCUUCGUUUAUGGUCCUCUCUACAACGCGUGGAGAAUCGAGACCUAUUUACGGAGGUGUGUACACGAUUGGAGACUGCGGCGAGGGAUACUUUUACAACAUGGGUGGCAGCAUGA
This 471-nucleotide ribosomal RNA is filed under the name Triticum aestivum (bread wheat). RNAcentral describes it as "partial small subunit ribosomal RNA". The record is from RNAcentral. Lineage: Eukaryota; Viridiplantae; Streptophyta; Magnoliopsida; Poales; Poaceae.